Molecule: long non-coding RNA, 2287 nt
Organism: Gasterosteus aculeatus aculeatus (three-spined stickleback)
Lineage: Eukaryota; Metazoa; Chordata; Actinopteri; Perciformes; Gasterosteidae
Source: Ensembl
CGGUAGUUUUCCACAGAAAACUAAUCCCCGAUGGUGAAUGAUGCUUUCACACAAAAUGGCCACAGCUGGACGGCUUUCCAAACGGCACAGAGCCUUCUUUUAACGGGCAAAUCCUCGGUUUUUAAUGAUGCUACUUAGUGGCAAAAUGUUUCCCCCCUCAAGAUGGAGAACGCUGCCCGGUCCACUUUCACACAAAAUACAGCGCGGCGUUGUCCACACACACUCGCUCCCCACUUCUUUCAGAGGGGGAUAACUUCUGAGACUUUUAGAAAAAGCGUUCGUUCCCACUUUUCAUGCUGUCAACACUUUAAACACAGUGGAAAAACCCCGUGUUGGAGGUUUGAAGUAGUACGAAUUCCAUUUGACGGAAAGGUUACAAUCAUCUAUCCGUGCUUCUACUUUGUUUGGUGUUUUUGAAUGGCAGGCCCGGUUGCCAUGGUGCCACGAUAAGGUGCAGAAUCUGGUUCCCGUUUAAUCCAAAUGAAACGCAGCGUUUAAGGAAUCUCCCUUCAAGUGGUCGGGCUGGUUGCUAUGCUGCGAUUGGGAAGCCAACCGCAUGGCCAGUCAAACAAACAUCCCUUUUUCUGAGUCACAGGCCGCCUCCCCCUCUCGCCUCGCCGGUCCAAGGGGUUCCCUCGCCAUUAGUCUGUAAUUAUGCCCGAAGUCUCUCUCUCGCUCGCUCACUGUCAGUUGCCGCCUCUCUCGCCAACCAGCCCACACACUGGCCGCUCUGUUACCCCCUCUCUGCCCCUUCCGGCCCCCUCCGCUCACCUUCGGGCUCCGACAAAGCGCCUCCUGGGCGAUAUUUUUAGGGGGUGUUUUCUUUCCACCUGGUUCCACAAACAAGCACUCCACUCCACUUCUGGAGGAGGAAAAUCUCAAUCUGCUCCCUCACUACGGCCUCACCUGGCGCGCUGACCAGGAGCAGCUGGUUCUGUUUUGCCUUUUUCUGCGUCCAGCAUUAAAAACAGGUCCGAUCAGACUCAGAUCAGAGUUUUGUGGCAGAGUGUCUAAAGAGAAUCUGCCACCCAUUUGCUGUGGGAAUUUAGAUGAAAAAUGACUGGAAAUAGUGCUUGUGCCUUUUUACAAAAUACUAAAAUAAUGUGUUUAGUAACUAAUCAAGUGUGUCAAUAGCAAACUUAGGUGCAUUUUUCUGCUAUGGCUUCAUGGCCACAUUUUAAAUGUCAGAAGGUCGCUGGAUGAUCAGUGUGUAGUGUUCAAAUCUGGUGUAAACCCCCCUCAAAGGUCAGGGGUCAAACCAGUUUGCACCCUGCCGGUGUCAUCCUGCCUUUAUCUCCGUGCGUGAGAGAACGCUGCAGACAUCUGACCACACAUUUCCUCUGGUGUGGGAGGAAGGGCUCGGCUCGGAGGCCGAAGGCCCGACCCAGUGACUCCUCGCAGCAGGAAGAUGGGGCGGAGGAGGAGGAGAGGGAGUCGUGGCUGCAGAGGAACAACCGGUCCGGGGGGGGUGCAGGGUGUUAAAAGACGAGGACAAGACAAGGAGAUCCAUUGACGGACAGGAUGUUCUGCAGCUGAAGAGAACUGUAGAAGAGACGCGCUAAGUCCGAUCCUGAAGGCGUUCUGACGAUUACCCAACUCACAGAGAACCUUGAGACGUUAAUUUGGACCCCCGCACUUCAUGCCAAGAGGGCGAGUCGAUCUUCAGGGAUCUGCAAGCUAAUUACAGCUCCCAGAGUGAGAAAGUUAAUCAACGUCUCCUCAUCUGUGAAGCAUUGUUUCCAUUUUUAAACUCCAUGAGGUCAAAGUUCAGAGUCCCUGUCUUGGCCGCUGUUACACGCCGGGUCUCUACAUCAAACAAAGGCCUCACGGUGAAGGAUGGACUUAAGGGUGCGACUAAGUGAGCGGUUGGGCCGCAGCGUGUUCGCCUGUUUGGUGCAGGGAGGAGGAUGAUCUUUGACAGAUCUCUGAACAUCACACCCUCCUGACCACCCAGGCCUGCAGGACACACACACACCCUCUGGGUUUGGAGUGAUACUCAUGGAUCUGUUGAUGGAUUAAUGACUCAUGUGUGUUACUGAGGCAAAAAGACUGUGUGUCUUGUGUGCGUUCUUGCAUAUUUCUUGUUGCUGUUUUUGCCGUUUGCGUAUCAAAUCGCACGUGUUGACCACUGUUGCCAGGAAACAACCGUGGUGGCCAUUCUCUGGUGAAGCUUGGUGGGUGCUGCAACCCCCCCACGCCCCCCCACUACCUCACCUACCUCACUAGAAAAUAAAAAACAAUACCAGAAUGCUGCUAUAGUCAGAACUUUAUUCUAGUGGGAGUUUGG